CACAAAAGCUUCCCCAUUUGCCCCUAUCUCUCUCCCUCUCCCUCUCUUUCUCCUGUCACAAUUUUUCUGCCACCCAAAUCUUGCCUAACAGUAUCAAGAAUGCUCUGCCAUUAUUACUAGUAAAUGGUAUUAUCUUCAAAGCUGCCAGUAUUAUUCAAGCUUGAUGCUUGAAAGCAAAAUGUAGAAAAUAAAUAAAUAAAACAACAGCUAUAUUGAGGAAUGCAGAGAGAGAAGGAGAGGGAGUGUGUGUGUACGCGUGUGUUGAGCUGUUUUCCAAAGCUCAGUAUUUGACAAUUUGCCGGGCUUUUUAACUUUACAAGGUUUAUAAAAACAGGAGGCUUCAUUUGUAAUCUUACAAAGAUUUUAGGUUAACAAGCAAUUCUAGUGUUA
Molecule: unclassified non-coding RNA, 390 nt
Filed under: Hevea brasiliensis (rubber tree)
Lineage: Eukaryota; Viridiplantae; Streptophyta; Magnoliopsida; Malpighiales; Euphorbiaceae
Source: RNAcentral